AAUGCUGUUUUAAGGGAAGACAGCAAACAACCUAAGGAAUCAUGGCACAUUUGGAUUGUAACACUCCCUCCUUCCUCUGGGAAACAACUCCUCCACAGUAACUGAAUGCUCUGCAGAAUCAAAGGAAGGGAUAGCACAGAAGAAAUGCAGGACAAGGCUUUCUCAGUAUCAGCCCUUCCAACUCAUGAAGAUAAGUGUACCACCAGUGAGGAAGUGGCCAGAAGAGCUCCCCUGAUACACAGGAGACCUUUUGUAGAGCUGCUAAAACAAAGACAGGAAACUCGACACCACAGUCUGCUGAUCCCUGCUUGGUUCUCCUUCUUCUUCAGCUAUUUGCAGCUGACAGAUUCCGUGAUCACUUCCAGCACCAAGAAACUUCCUUGGCAAGAGUUACUGCAUGGUCCCUAAGUUUGUCUUCAAAUGAUCUGAUCAUUAAAAGCCAAAUGUACAGUGACCGGUGGAUUUUUCUACAGUUCAAUUUAAAUCAAAAGCAAUCUCAAAAUAGAAGGUUAUAUUAAAUACAAAGUUAUAUUAAAUCAGACUAACUGAGCUCAGGCAUAGGUUCAUGUAUUGCUCCAGAUAGCUCUGACAGCCUGACCAUAAAUUCUAACAUGAGUGCUUGCUGCUCAGUGUUUACAGUCAUGUGGGAGCCCUACGUUUAUUUUCUAAUCACAAGAGCAGAUGUUCAGCUGAUGUGAAUCAGCAAACCGCCCCCAAAGCCAAAGGAACUACCUUUAAUUUGUACCAUCUGGGGAUCUGUUUUGCAGGCCCUCUUUUUGAAGGCAAAGAAUGCAGUGCGUUAUCUUAGAACUAAUCGCACAGUAGCUUCCAAAAAAAUGGAAAAGGAAAAUAUCUAAAGCUCUUUAACUAGAAGAAAGUCCUCAUUAUGUGGUGUUUCAAAUUCAAACAGGCCAUGUGGGAGGAUAUCCCCAGGACCAUUAUAAUACUUAGGCUCUAAGUAAGCACAGGAAAGAAAGCCUGGUAAAGGACAGCGUUAAACGAGUGAGAGCACUAAAACUAAUUUGGCACAGUGACAUCAACAGGCCUUUGGAUUUAUGAACAUCUGAUAUGGGCCAGCGCUGAAACCAAGCGCGAGAACGUCUCUCAGUAACGUUAGUGCAUUGUACAACAUGAUUACAGUGUCAUAAAUGGAAAGGUGUUGAAUCCUACUGAGUUUUGGACAGCUUAGGACAUUUUAGGCUGAUUUUCAGUUCCGUGCAGUUCAUUGCUCUGAGUAUUUGCGUUGCUAGAAAGUAGGUUUGUAAGCACUGCUCCAGCUAACGGGUAGUUUUUAGAAGUAUAAAUACAUUAGGUUUUUCUCUAAAUAGUGCAAAGCUAAAAUAAAAGUGUAACCAAUGACUCUAAUUUCUAGUUG
This 1375-nucleotide long non-coding RNA is filed under the name Chrysolophus pictus (golden pheasant). RNAcentral's name for it is "lncRNA (ENSCPIG00010008090.1)". The record is from RNAcentral. Lineage: Eukaryota; Metazoa; Chordata; Aves; Galliformes; Phasianidae.